RNAcentral lists this ribosomal RNA (433 nucleotides) under uncultured bacterium. RNAcentral describes it as "partial 16S ribosomal RNA". It matches the Rfam family "Bacterial small subunit ribosomal RNA", at positions 29 to 507 of the family's 1533-position model. The record is from RNAcentral.
AACGAACGCUGGCGGCAGGCCUAACACAUGCAAGUCGAGCGCGCCCUUCGGGGUGAGCGGCGGACGGGUGAGUAACGCGUGGGAACGUGCCCUUUUCUACGGAAUAGCCUCGGGAAACUGAGAGUAAUACCGUAUACGCCCUUUGGGGGAAAGAUUUAUCGGAAAAGGAUCGGCCCGCGUUGGAUUAGGUGGUUGGUGGGGUAAUGGCCUACCAAGCGGACGAUCCAUAGCUGGGUUGAGAGGAUGAUCAGCCACACUGGGACUGAGGCACGGCCCAGACUCCUACGGGAGGCAGCAGUGGGGAAUCUUAGACAAUGGGGGCAACCCUGAUCUAGCCAUGCCGCGUGAGUGAUGAAGGCCUUAGGGUUGUAAAGCUCUUUCAGCUGGGAAGAUAAUGACGGUACCAGCAGAAGAAGCCCCGGCUAACUCCGUG